Molecule: long non-coding RNA, 1547 nt
Filed under: Citrus sinensis (sweet orange)
Lineage: Eukaryota; Viridiplantae; Streptophyta; Magnoliopsida; Sapindales; Rutaceae
Description: long non-coding RNA (CSIN_LNC000644)
Source: RNAcentral
ACAAUAAGCAUGUACCAUUUCUACCAUGGCAAUAUUUUAUGUUUCUGAUUCACUUCGUUCUAUUACUUUCUGCAGUUUCACUUUCCCUAUUACCAAAUCACCUUACAUGUUCACUGUCAAACUUAAUCUUCAUUGCAAUACUUAGUAACACCCAAGCUACUCUUGCACUUUCGGCUGUACAUUCCAUUAUUAUUCUAUGCACUUACAAAAAUACAAAACAAAUCAACUGAAUAAUCCAUUUAUUAUUAGUCUUUUCUAAGUAAUUAUUAUAUAAAUUACAUAAAAAUAAAAGGAUUGAAAAUUUAAUUUUAAGGUGCCGCCUGCUUCUAAGAAGUUGAGGUUCAAAGCAUAGUCAUCAUGAAGAUAAAAGAAGAGACAGCAAACAUCACUGACCCAAUAAAAUUACAGAGCAAAACCACAAGUUUCUCAUCAAUCCUAACGCCACAAACAGGUGUCCAAUUGAACUGCUAGUAAACAAUCCCAAAAUCUUUUUGCAAAUUAAUGAACUAGACUCUACAAUUUCCCCAUUCUCUCUACUAUAUAUAAUUUCCCAGCAAAAAUAUUAUGAAUUAUGCAUUAUUCAAGUAAAAAAUUUCAAUUUCAACUUCCAGUAACCUGCAGUUUUGUUGUCGCGACCCUUCUUUCCGUUUCCUUUGAUGCUACCACAUAGAUGUUCAACUAGCUGCGAUCCACUUCAUUCAUCCCACGUAACACACCGUCGCAACGCGCCUCGCUGUUCUCCCUACCGUAUAUUUCUCCUCAACAUCGGUUAAAAGCAAAUCCAGCUGUGGUUUUCACUGCCCAAAUACCAAUAAAAAUGGUGCACUACUGCAACGGGUUGAGAUGGUAGCCCGACUUUAAGUCAUUAUUCCUUCCCAAAACCCCAACCAUUAGAUUAUACUCAUUAAAAGGGGGUAUGGUAUCCCUUGGGUACCGUACCUGGACCCCACAUGAAAAUCCUUUCAUUGAUUUCUUUGAAACAAACUUAAUUGGAAAUUCAAGGUAAAAAAUUGUGGAGCCUUUAAUCUCUAUUUUCCCAUCUUUACUUAUUUUAACAAGAAAAUUCUACAAUUUAAAUAAAAAAAUUCUUAAAAGAUUAUAAUGGAAUUUUUCCAAAAGAGUAAAUUUUUAAAAGAUUUUGAUGGAAUUAUUACACAAGAAUAAAAUUCUUAAAAGAUUAAAGUGGAAUUUUUUUAAAGGAAUAUUUUAUUCACUUUACUGCACUUACAAAAAUACAAAACAAAUCAACUGAAUAAUCCAUUUAUUAUUAGUCUUUUCUAAGUAAUUAUUAUAUAAAUUACAUAAAAAUAAAAGGAUUGAAAAUUUAAUUUUAAGGUGCCGCCUGCUUCUAAGAAGUUGAGGUUCAAAGCAUAGUCAUCAUGAAGAUAAAAGAAGAGACAGCAAACAUCACUGACCCAAUAAAAUUACAGAGCAAAACCACAAGUUUCUCAUCAAUCCUAACGCCACAAACAGGUGUCCAAUUGAACUGCUAGUAAACAAUCCCAAAAUCUUUUUGCAAAUUAAUGAACUAGACUCUACAAUUUCCC